Cyprinus carpio carpio is the source of this 4240-nucleotide long non-coding RNA. The record is from Ensembl. Lineage: Eukaryota; Metazoa; Chordata; Actinopteri; Cypriniformes; Cyprinidae.
UGACUUAUGAAACGGAGGAAAUUAGACUGAACUCCAGUACUUCAUUUUUUAAAAGGGGACCUGUCCAGCCUUGAGAAUUUCCUGAGCAUCUGAUCUGCCAGAUUACGAGCAUUUCCUGAGACCAUAAAACAGAGGAGCAUUCAAAGCAUCAUCAAAUUUACCUGUUGAGAACUGUGUAGACCUCAAAACAUGCCUUUAACAAUUGAAAAGUGUAAAAGAGAGCUGGACAAACUGGCUCUUGCCAUCUCUGUUCCAAUGAUCAUUUUAUUAUUUCCUUUGGAGGCUUUGAUUGAUAAAGAUUUUAUAUGCCCAUGCGAUGCUAAACUGAAUCCGAUAAUAACAAACCUCAUCUUUGCUGGCCCUUUUAUUUUAGUUUUUGCUUCAAUGUGUAUUAUUUUACAGCAGAUUAAAUUUAAAUCUUCUGUAUUUCAACCUUUAAAAAUGUUGUUUCUUUGCCUGAUUCCACCUUUUGUGUGGAUCGUUCUUGUGCUCCUUGAUGGUGACUAUGUUGCCUGUCGAGACACAGACUGGAAUGGAGUGUAUGUUUCAGAUGAUCAGCUACAUUUGAGAUGGUGUAAACCCACUGACUCAUUUCCAGGAAGAAAUGACACCGAGCUCCAGGCUCUGACGCUCAGCUUUAUUGUCAAGUCACAGAUGUAUGGUUUUGGGAUGCUCCUUUCAUUAGGCAUUUAUUUAAUUGUGCUUCAUAUUGGCUGCUGCCGCAGCUGCGACCACUGCAACUGCACCUGCAGUAAUGACGAGCCAGAAAGUGAGUAACAGACUGAGAAGGAAGAAUUUAAAGGUACUUUUGUUUGCUAUAGACAUGAACCAAGCACAGUUCAGAUCUAAUGAUUGGGGAGGAAACUUUCCUCUGCAGCUCAAAGAAACCAUUGCAAGAAAUGCAUUUCUUCUCUAUAGCCUAUGCGAGUGUAGAAGUUUGAGUUUUAUGGUUUUGUGUUGUUGUUUUAUUAUGUGAUCUUUCCCUUAUUAAAAUGUUUUAUUAAUGUCUUUUAAUAAAAUUAAUGUUCACUUUGGUUCAACUCCUUGUUGUUUGAAUAGUGCUUUAGAAAUAAAUGAACUGAACUGAACUGUUAUAAAAAUGAAACAUGUCCACUGUUAUUGAAAAUAAAUAACAUAACAUAAAUAAAUGAUAUGUUAUAGAUGUAAGGAACAUGUGAAUAUGUCAUGUGUAAAAAAUACAAAUAAAAAUCAUGUUGCAAAUUAAUCUGUGAAGACAAGUAAAGAGAGCAUUAUUUUAUUUUAUUUAUUUAUUUUGUAUUUUUUUGGAAUUUGAAAUCUGCUUGUAUGAAACAGAAAUAUUCUUUCUUUCUUUUUUAAAUACUGAAGAUAUGGAGUCACUUUUUGAACAUAAAUAAGUGCCAAUAUGAAGUACCCCAGUAUGUAUUUUUGAACAACUUCUGGUGACCAAUGAAUGUGCUGUCAUAAGAUUUCUUGUUCACGUUUUACUUUUUUUUAUUUUUUUUCAUUAUUAUUAUUUUGAAACUUUAUUUCACUCACUGAACUGCAAAUCAAUUUCUAACCUUUAUAUAGUGUGUUUUUCUGGAUUUUUUGGUUGGUAUUCUGUCUCUAUCCAUUAAAAUAAACCUACCAUAAAAAUAACAGACCCUUCAUUUUUUUUUUUUUGUAAGAGGGCAAAGUUACAAAAUCAGCACGGGAUCAAAUAAAUAUUUUCCCCACUGUACCUUUUUUGUGAGAGACAGGAAAAACCUUGCAUUUCUUUGGGUUAAGUUUUAUUUUGUGAUUCUUAAUCCAUCACUACUGUUCGAUGUCUACUGGAGAGUUUACUGAAUAAUUACAGAAUUACAGAAUAAUAAUUGGCUCUAGGUGGCACCUAAGAUGGAUGAUUUUUAAAAUUUUUAUGUGACAGGAAUCUUUUAUAGAGCAGUCAUCCAGGUGAUGUUUUUAAAGUAUUGUUUUAUAGUGAAAAAUUUAUUUAAAAAAAAAAAAAUAUUGGAAGAAAUUGAACCUUUCUGGGAGUAUUCCAUGGAAUUUCUGAAGCCCUUGGCUUAAAAAGAUCUUAUAUAAAGAAGGAGUUGCAUGGGCACUAACUGUUGCUGGCAGAAGAUUUAUCUGCAAUAGAACAGAAUUGUUUGGAUUGAGGAAUGGGACAAACCUGAGUCUAGCCUGAUCAACGUCAAGAUAAAACUUAAAGGACCACCCAGUUAAGCUAUGCUAAUAAUGAACCCCAGAUCUCUCGUAAAUAAGACUGAUGAGCUUCAAGCUAUCCAAAGAUCCUUAAUUGUGUGGUGUCAUUAUGAUUAUUUUACUGCUCCUGAUCGUGUUUGAGCCACCUACAAUCCCAAAUCAUAAAUAUCAAACAUGUUUGAUAUUUGCCACUCUUGAUUGGUUUGUCUCUGACAUGAUAAAUAUGAUAGCCAAUGAGAGUAAGUAAGCGUCACCUACUGGAUGUUGUGUGCUUCUAUAGCUGAAACUUUGCAGCCACAAACAUGCCACAAAAUUAGAGCACUGAGAAAGAACAUCCCCUAUUUUAUUUUUAUUUAUUUUUUAUUUUUAUUUUUUUUUUGCAUUUCCCAGUGUCAUUUUACAAUCCAGUCAGUGCAGUUAUUUCAGGAGAGGUGAUGGGAAGUGACUCUAGACCAUUUCUGGAUCAGUCUUAUAAUUUGGGACUUAGUUGAAGCUGGUAAAAUACUUCUUUUAAAAUGCUGGUUAUUGUGACUUUUGUUCUGUUUCCAGGUUGUAAAGGUUCAUGUGGCAAAGAAGCCUGGAGGCUUGGAUUUGACAUGAUCUUGUUUUUGUAGUACAAACCAUCAUAUGGGACAAUUUUACAACUAAUGAAAUAAAACAUAAGUUUGAAUAUUUAUAUAUAAGUGUAUGCUUUGUGACCUUUUCAAAGUGAUUACGUAUUACGUGAAGUUGUGGACGCGCAUCACAGAGCAGUGCAAGGUGAGCAUUUCUGUUUAUAAAGCAUAUACAUUUUUUUUUUUUUUUUUUUUUAAAUGACCGAUCAUUUGGGUAAAUUAUCAGGAAAUGUUUAAUUUGAAAGUGAAAUAAUCCUUUAAUAAAGAUUUUAAAAUCUAUCCUGAGAGUUUUAAAAUGAAAUACAAUUAAUUAAAAGUAAAAUAUUAAAACCAAAUUCACAAAGAGUAUGAUGAAAAUCAACAGCAGUGAUAAUAAAUUAGGUUAAAUGUUAUUGUUGUUAAAGGGAUAUUCCAACCAAAAAUAAAUAAAAAUCUGUUAUCAUUUCCUCGCCCUCAUGUUGUUCCAACCCUGUAUGACUUUCUUUCUUCUGAAGAACAUAAAAGAAGAUCAUAUGAGAAAUGUCUUAGUGGUUUUCAAGGGUAAACAAAAUGGUUUAGUUAGCAACAUUCUUCAAAAUAUCUUUUUUUAUGUUCUUCAGAAGAAAGAAAAUCAUGGGUUGGAACAACAUGAGGGUGAAUAAAUAUCAGCAGUUUACAAUGUGAAUUUGUAUGUGACCAAAAAAAAUUCAAUAUUAAUUUAGUUAACUGCAUUUGGAGUGCAUUCAAUAGUAGUUCAUCCAUUUAUUUAUUUAUUUAUUUAUAACAUUAAUUUUAGCUGGAAACUGCAGAAAACUUUUUUUUUUCAGAGUUGCUGAGAAACCACUUCUUCUUUUUUUCGGUCAAAAUGUAUGGAACAGCUGUCUUUAAAUAGUAAUGCAGAAGCAGAAAUUAACCACACACAACACACAUAGACAAAAAGGGCGAACACAAGAGUAAGUCUUAAAGGAGUAACUUUCUAACUGAAUUAAUUGAAUGUUUGUCUUCGGUGUUAAAACCCAUGCAUUUCUGAAACAACAAUCUUUUUUUUAAUAAUUUUUCGGUAACACUUUACAAUAAGGUUGUAUUACUUAACAUUAGUUAAUGCAUUAGUUAACAUGAACUAACCAUGAACAACACCUAUGUUCAGCAUUAGUUAAUCUUUGUUAGCGUUAACUCACACAUAUAUUAAUGCAUCUAUUCACGUUAACAGUGCAAUUAGUUAACAUUAGUUGAUGCAUGUGUUAACACAAACUAAUGCCUGUAAACAGCCUUAAUGUUUUAAGGUUAACUUACUGUACAUAUUUACAUUAGUUUACGUAGCAGUUGACACACUAAGGGUGAAUAUUUCUAACUCACCAUCUUACCCGUUAGUUAAUGCAUUAGUUAACAUUAACUAACAAUGAACUACACAUCUGUUCAGCAUUAAUUAAUCUUUGUUCAUGUUAACUUAUUCAUAUAAUAAUGUAUUAGUUAAUACAUUA